ACGGGGUGCAGCAGGCGCGAAACCUCCGCAAUGUGAGAAAUCGCGACGGGCGGGAUCCCAAGUGCCAUUCUUAACGGGAUGGCUUUUCAUUAGUGUAAAGAGUUCUUGGAAUAAGGGCUGGGCAAGACGGUGCCAGCCGCCGCGGUAAU
Molecule: ribosomal RNA, 149 nt
Filed under: uncultured methanogenic archaeon
Lineage: Archaea; Methanobacteriati; Methanobacteriota
Description: partial 16S ribosomal RNA
Rfam family: Archaeal small subunit ribosomal RNA
Source: RNAcentral